CAACCUGGAAACAGAUGCUAAUACCGGAUAACAAUAGAUGAUGCCUAUCAACUGUUUAAAAGAUGGUUCUGCUAUCACUCUUGGAUGGACCUGCGGUGCAUUAGCUAGUUGGUAGGGUAACGGCCUACCAAGGCGAUGAUGCAUAGCCGAGUUGAGAGACUGAUCGGCCACAUUGGGACUGAGACACGGCCCAAACUCCUACGGGAGGCAGCAGAC
RNAcentral lists this ribosomal RNA (216 nucleotides) under uncultured Lactobacillus sp. RNAcentral's name for it is "partial 16S ribosomal RNA". It matches the Rfam family "Bacterial small subunit ribosomal RNA", at positions 144 to 354 of the family's 1533-position model. Lineage: Bacteria; Bacillati; Bacillota; Bacilli; Lactobacillales; Lactobacillaceae. The record is from RNAcentral.